UAUUGUAAGCUUUGCGAACGUUAUAUUUAUGUUGGAGAAACAGGGGAUACGUUGUACCAAAGACACCUUCUUAAUUUAUCCAGAAUACGAACCAAAUACAACGAUCCGUUAGCGGCGCAUUUUUACACGAACGACCACACAGUAAAUGAUUUUUGGGGGCGCAAGCCCCCAAUGUAAUUACGAUAAAUUCAGCUUACUACCUUCUGAACGCGUUUAGGCUAUCUAGCUGCGCUGAGCAAAAAUAGUUCCAAUAUUUUGCCAUAAUAUUCAGAUCAUCAUAAUACCUUAUCUAAUUUAAAAUUGACUGGUCAUUCUAUUACUUAAUUUUAAAUCCUUUUAUCACAAAAUUACAAAUACCAUUGCUUUACGCGAUUUGAAUAUUACUACGCUAGCAGUCGAUAAAAAUUUAAUGAGAACCAGUUUAUUUGUUCUACCUUCUGGUUCCCGAUGCAUGAGAGCCAAAGUACUUGCAAAAAUUUGGUGCCAAUUUUAUCAAGUCAUAAAUUAACUAACUAUCAUAGAACACAAUAAUUCAGGAAGAUGGAAAACGAUUUUCAAAUUAGAUAACUUUCAACAGUUGCAAGCUUAAAAUGGUUAAAAAGUGUGAAUGACAGAGUAAAAAUUUGUAUGCGUAUGAAUACGAACUAUUUUCCCUCUGACGUCAUUUUCCCGAAAUCGCCAUCUUGGUCAGUUAUUCCGAGAAAAGGUUGAGAAGAUCUGCUAUCAAUAUAGGAAGUCACAGCUAUUGCGUUGAUAUUUUGGUUGCAAUCAAUUCCAUCUUGGUGUAUUGUCUUCAUACUUGGCCACAACAACCCUUCAAAUAGACCAGACUAAACUUGACCUCCAUAUAAACAUUCAAGAUGGUCGGCCUACAUGUCAGAUUUGUAAAUGUGAACGGCACGAUAUCGAUUUUAAGAAUGCUUUAGGGUCAAUGAGGAUGAAAUAAAAUGUGAGACUGUCAAUCUGACAAACCUUGCAGUGAAUAAAUGGAAACAGUGGCGUUUGUAUGAUAGAACAGUAAUAGCAGGAGUGAUAAGGACAGAUGCAUGUAGAUGUGUCUUCAUGUCGGAAACACUAGAGAAAUUGACACAUUUGGGUUUUAUCAAAAUUAAAGGAAUUGGAAUACCAGGAGACUGCUUGCCAUUUGCAAUGUUGGAAUGUGUGAUGUCGAAAGCCUCAUGAAUAUAGUAACUUGACUUUAUUAAUCUAAUAAGAAAAAGAAAAGACAUUGAGGUGAAAACUAGUCACCAGUCUUUCACCAAGAACAUGAGAUAACUUUCCAAUAUUUGAAAUAUCAUAAUAUGUAUAGAACUUGAAUGAGCGACAUAAUAUGUAUUGAUAUUGAAUGAGCGACCAGUUUUUCACCAGGAAAAUAAGAUCACUUAUCUAUUUUUGAAAUAUGUAUGAACAUAACUCUAUCAACUUCAAGGUGAGAGUUUAUCAUGAAGAACAUGAGAUAACUUGUGUAUGAACAGAACCACAUUUGAAUAUAGAGGCGCCAGUUCAUCACCAAGAAGAUGAGCUAACUUAUCAAUGUUUGAAAUCUGUUAUACCCCCGCACAACAAAGUUGUAAGGGGGCUAUACUGGAAUCAGCUUGUCCGGCCGUCGGGCGUCAGUCGCUUUUUUCUUGUCCGUCCAUAAAAUUAAGAUUCCUUUGACCCACAGUCUUCAUAUUUGGCAUGGAGUUAAGUCAUGAUUAGUAGAUGACCUCCAUUAAUUUUGAGAACACCAAGUCAAAGGUCAAGGUCACAGGGGUCUUGACUGAAGAAAGCUUUCCUGCCCAAUAACUUAAGAAUCCUUCGACCCACAGUCUUCAUAUUUGGCAUGGAGGUUAGUCAUGAUUAGUAGAUGACCCCUAUUUAUUUUCAGGUCUAAGGUCAUGGUCACAGGGGCCUUGGCUAAUUAAAGCUUGUCUGCCCAAUUACCUAAGAAUCCUUAGACCCAUAGUCUUAAUUUUUGGCAUGGAGGUUAGUCAAGAUUAGUAGAAUACCCCUAUUGAUUUUGAGGUUACUGGGGCAAAAGUCAAGGUCACAGGGGCUUUUAUUACAAUUAGCUUGUCUGCUCAAAUGGUCUCAUAUAUUCAUCAUAAAACACCUCCAGGCAAGGCUGCAUGAAAUGGGGGGGUUAUUGAAGUCAUUCAAUGGCAGUUUUAGUUUUGAGGUCAGUAGGUCCAAGGUAAAGUUCACUUUGAUCUUUUCUACUAAAACAUGUAGAAUAUAUAACUUAGCAAUGCACUGGCUUACUUCCCUCAGAUUUGGCUGAGCUGUAAAUGACUACUGUUGAUUCUGACAAAUUGGUAUGUGGGGGUAUUCACGCCAUGACAAUGGCAGUUCUAGUUUGUACAGAAAAUAUCAAGAUGCAAGUUUCUUUUAUUAAGAAUAGACUUAUUGAUUAGAUAACUUACAAUAUUUACAAACAUUUAUAAUACCAAACCCAUUUAAAGUAUUUCAGCUGAGAGUGUAUUAUCCAAAAUACAUGUAUUGUUAUAAUGUACUUUAUAGUAUAUUUAUUGAUAUAUUUAUUGUAAAGUUUUGAUUCUACUAGAUUUUAAAAACAUUUAGAUUUUACUUGAUCUUGAAAAUAUUUUGUUCCAUGCUCUUUCAUUUAAUUUUGAAUAAUGAAUCCAAUAAAUACCUAUAAUAAGUAUAGGAUUAAAAUUGAUAAUGUUUUCUAUCUUUAACUUAUAUAAAAAAAGUAAUGUUUAAACUGUUGGUUAGAUUUCAAACAGAACUAAACAGGGGUGUACAGUGCCAUCCUUAGUUGUGCACAUUGUUGGCAUGUUCUCAUCGUCGGAUAUACAUGGCCGAACCAUUAAUAUUCAUCAUUGAUUGCAUGUUAUGUGACAUGUUUAUCAAUUGUGGGUAUCCAACGAUGGCAGCCAUGUCCUGUUUCUCUGCACAAAAUGGCCGAAGAGUUGAAAAAAGAAAAAUCUAUCACAUGUACAACUGCCAAAAUUCAAAAGAGUGAUCAGAACCAUACACAGUUUUGGGAGACAUGUUUUUGUGACAAAAGCCCUUCAAGUUCAUAUAUGACCUUGACCUUUAUUUGAUAUAAAAUAUCUUUGGAGUUAGCUGGAAUUGUCAUUACUUUGUUAUUUUUUACAGAUUUGAAUCAUGCUUGAACAAACAAACACAGAACCAACAUGUUGAAUUUUUUCUGAUAUAUUUUGACCUUUAAAUGACCAUUACCUCCAAGGUUAAACAAUUGAAAUUCACUCACAUUGUCAUAACUUUGUUUUUGUCUAUGAUUUGAUUCAUUCUUGGACAAAAGAACAAUUAUCAUUCAACUAUGACCUUUACUAUUCAAAUUUGAAAUUUACUUUAUACAUUUAUAUUAUGUUUUCUAGGAGUACUCUAAUAGAUAUUACAAUAUUCUCCUACUGAUGUGUUUGACUUUCAAUAUAAGAAAAAGCCAAGCAUGGCCCAAGCUAGAUAGUGGCUCUUGUUUUCAAUGCCAACUUGAUUAUAUGUAUCCAUUCCAAUUUACAUUCUCACAUGUAUUAUCUAUUGUGCUUGAAAGGUUUCUACAAAAAAUAAGUUUGUUCUUACAGUCCUGGUUUUAUUUUAGAAAUAUUUUAUAGACAGUUAAAUUUUCUGUUUAUUUUCUAUCUGCAUAAUCAUUUCUUGGAAUAAAUAUAGUAAGUACACUGA
This is a long non-coding RNA of Ruditapes philippinarum (Manila clam), 3651 nucleotides long. RefSeq lists it as uncharacterized. The transcript has 4 exons. The record is from RefSeq and is a predicted model, not a curated record. Lineage: Eukaryota; Metazoa; Mollusca; Bivalvia; Venerida; Veneridae.